CCUACGGGAGGCAGCAGCAAGGAAUCUUGCGCAAUGGGCGAAAGCCUGACGCAGCAACGCCGCGUGGGGGAAGAAGGCCCUCGGGUCGUAAACCCCUUUUGCAAGGGAAGCAACUGACGGUACCUUGCGAAUAAGCCACGGCUAACUACGUGCCAGCAGCCGCGGUAAUACGUAGGUGGCAAGCGUUGUCCGGAUUUACUGGGCGUAAAGGGCGCGCAGGCGGCCCAUCAAGUCCGGGGUGAAAGCUCCCGGCUCAACCGGGAGAGGUCUCCGGAAACUGAUGGGCUUGAGGGGAGCAGAGGAGAGCGGAAUUCCCGGUGUAGCGGUGAUAUGCGUAGAUAUCGGGAGGAACACCAGUGGCGAAGGCGGCUCUCUGGGCUCUCCCUGACGCUGAGGCGCGAAAGCGUGGGGAGCAAACCGGAUUAGAUACCCGGGUAGUCCACGCUGUAAACGUUGGGCACUAGGUGUGGGAGGUAUUGACCCCUUCCGUGCCGUAGUUAACGCGAUAAGUGCCCCGCCUGGGGAGUACGGCCGCAAGGCUAAAACUCAAAGGAAUUGACGGG
Molecule: ribosomal RNA, 563 nt
Filed under: uncultured Chloroflexota bacterium
Lineage: Bacteria; Bacillati; Chloroflexota
Description: bacterial SSU rRNA
Rfam family: Bacterial small subunit ribosomal RNA
Source: RNAcentral